UUUCUGCGCGGGGUCGUCUCUGUGGUGUGCUCUCUCGCCCUCUCCGAUGACGUGCCCGACACGCCCGUACAAGAGAACAAGGGAAGAAACGAAAAAAAAAACAGUACGCACACGCGAGUGUCGUUCGCGAGAGGCUCCCGACGAGGCAACGGGGCCGGCCAUCCAGAGGAAUACGUAAAGGUCUGCGCCGGGCGAGGAGGGCACUCUCCGUAGUGAGGUCCAGUGGCUCUCUCACAGCCACGUUGACAAGGUUGCCAUCUCUCGAAGCAUCUGCGCCCGAGUCGAAAGGCUGUGCGUCUGCUUGUCACGUUGUGUGUGUGUAUGUGUGUGUUUGCUUAUGAGUGUCGUUCGACCGGCUCCUGCCACCCACCUACCCAUAUAGACAUUCAUCCCUCUCCCGGUUUCAUACAUUCUCUCUCUGUCUGGAUCUUUGUUUUUGCACGCUGGAGCUGCGCCAAGUGCUCCCCCUUCCCCCCCCCCAUCCCUCCCUCCCUCUUGUCUUUUUUCUUUUUCCUGCUGUGUGUGUGUGUGUGUUGUCUGUGCGUGCACACUUGCAGCAACCUACCACUCACCUGCCCUUGUCUGUUCUCGUUGGCUCUUCUAGAUUGUGUCUCUUCUUUAUGUUGUUGUUGUUUUCGCGCCUUCUUUCACUCCCUCUUUCCCAUCCCUCAGUGAGUCUCCCUUCUGGCACGUACACACACGCACCAACGCCACCACCACCACCCCUUAGAGCUUCCAUCUCUCUCUCUCUCUUGGCCGUUUUGCAGUGCCGACCUUUUCGUAUUCUGUUGCCUCACCAACACCACCACCACCGUCGUGGCGGGCUCGUGCGCUCUCCUCUCUCUACUCACUCUUUCUCUGCGAAACCGACGUGCUCCCCGUGCGUCAAUACAGAGCAGCAUGAACGGCGACGGCGCAUCGUCCACGGGCACGACGCUAUCCGCGUCGACAGCGUCGCACAGGCUACUCCUCGGCAAUGAAACCAGUGCAACAAAGGUGUUUGUGCGCGUGCGCCCCUUCAGCGCGGCCGAGCGCGGCAAAGGCGAUGCCGAGCCAAUGACGAUCGUCACCGUCAGCGACGAGCAUCCGUCGCACAUUACCACGCUAGACCCGAGCAAAGGCUACCAGCCGAAGGCGACGUAUGUGUUCGAUCGCUGCUUCAACAGCGCCACCGCUUGUGUGGCCGAAGAGGCGCAGCGGCUUUUGUUGGGCAAUGGCAAGGACAUGGGCAUGGCGCCGACCGCCUUGACAGCGCUGGAGGAGGUCAGUGCAGAGGGCUCAAUCAACCCCAUCUUGCUAGAAUGUCUCAAACGUGAUCAGGCCGCCGUCUACGGCCAUGUCGGGCGGCCGGUGCUGCUCAACGCACUAGCCGGCUACAAUGGCUGCGUCUUCGCCUACGGUCAGACCGGUAGCGGAAAGACGUACACAAUGAUGGGGCCGCCAGGAGUGUUUGGUGCAACCUUCGGUGGCGCGCCUGCACAGGUGAGGACCGUGGCCCCCGCCAAGAAAUUCCGCCGCGCUGCCACCGCGUACAACAGCCAGCUGCGCUGGACGCCGGAAGCGAGUUCCGACGAUGUUAUGGACUCGCGCUUCCAGUCCUUUCUCUCCGUGACGCCUCGCGCGCAUGUGCGUACACCCUGCAGUGGCGGCCACAUGGACACCAUGUCGAUGGCGGGGGAUGCACCCUUGCCGAUGGAUUGCAGCCUGUCAGUGAGCUCGGAUGUGCUGCUGCAGCGGUCCCGACGCGGCAGCCGCCGCGACAGCAACGCUCUCUGCCUGGGAGAGGAGGAGAACCUUCAAGGCAUCGUGCCGCGUCUUGUGCGAGAGCUUUUCGCGGAGCUGCACCAGAAGCGCGAGCAGGACAGCAGCCACUCCUUCCGCGUCGAGGUGGAGUACUAUGAGAUCUACCGCGAGAAAGUCAUGGACCUCCUCAGCAGCAGCAGCGCCGCCGCCGCCGGCGCCAACGGCAGCGGCAGCGUAGAGCUGCGCGUGCGACACAGCAAGUCUGCUGGUCCGUAUGUAGAAAAUUUGACAAAGAAGCACGUGGACGAUGAGGGAGAAGUCUUUCGGCUCCUGCGGCACGGCAACCUGCGCCGGCACACAGCCUCGACGGCGAUAAAUGAUCGAAGUAGUCGCAGUCACGCCAUCUUCGUGCUGCACCUCGUGCAGAUGCGCAUCUCCGACGACGACAGCGCCUCCGCGAAGGUGUCGAGUAAGGUGAACCUCGUCGACCUUGCCGGGUCGGAGCGGACGGGAGCGCACAGCGUGGAGGGGGACCAGUUCAAGGAGGGCGUCGUGAUCAACUCAUCCCUGACGGUUCUCGGCCGCGUAAUUGACGCUCUUGCCGACAAGUCGUCAGGCAAGCGCAACGUCUUCUGCCCGUACCGCGACUCUGUUCUCACGUGGCUGCUCAUGGACUCGCUCGGCGGGAACAGCAAGACGACCAUGGUGGCGACAGUGUCUCCGCACUCAUCCAACUUCGAUGAGGCGUGCCAGACGCUGCGGUACGCAAGUCGGGCGAAGCAGAUUGUCACUAAGGUGGUCGUCAACGAGGACCCGCAGGUGCGGCAGAUCAAGCUGCUCACCGCCGAGGUGCAGCGACUCAAGGCGCGGUUGAGCGCUGAGGGCAAGGCCGUGGACAACGAUGACGACGUCGAGGUCCUGCAAGAGCGCAUUGCUGCAUUGGAGGAGGAGUUGAACGAAACGCGCAACCAGCUGGAUCAGAAGUCGAGCGAGCUUGCGGCUAUCUGCGCCUCCCGGCACACCUCGUCGACGCUGCCCUCGACGCUCAAGGCGGGCAACGCCGGCGCUGCGGGCACGGCGAAGGAGCUGGCGAAGGCCAGGUCGGACGUGCGCCGCUUGGAGGCUGAGAAUUUGCUGCAUCUGCAGACCGAGCAGGAGCUGCGAGACACGAUGGAGCGUCUCAAGACACUGGAGAGAAAGUACGGACAGCUGCUCAGUGAAUCCAAGGAGGCGCAAGACACUGUCAAGAAGCGGGACAGGGAGAUUCAGGAAAAGGAUAGGCGCAUCAGUGAGUUGCAGCAUCAGCUGCAGCAGCAGGCUGCUCAGAUGCAGGCCGACUCGCCGCUCACAUCCAACCCCAGCGCCUUGUCACCACGGUCAGUCUGGGGGAAGUCCGGCGAGACGGUGUCUACAGCGACCGCCACCGGCAUACCACCGAUGGCCCUCACAGUGAACGCGAAUGAGUCUGGCAAGGCUGCUGGGAAGAAGACAAAGAAAGCGAAGGCCGGCGCCGCGUCAGCGUCGACCGCCGCAGCGCCGCCGGGGUCUCCGCAGCGUCGCGAGUCAGAAUGGCUCAAUGAGAUUUCACGGAUUCGGGCGCAGUUCGAGGAGGACAAGAAGCAGCUUGUGACGCAGAUGCAGGAGCGCAACGACGCCUUUCGCAAGAGUCAGCUUGAGGUGAAGUGGCUAAAGAGCGAGCUGAAAAGUGAGCAGGACGCGCUGCGCACGGUAGAGAAGAGCCUGCACGACCAGCAUGCCGAGGCAACGCGACGGCUGCAGGAGGAGGUGCAGGAGCUGAAGCGCGCACUCAAGGACGAGCGCCGGAACAACAAGGAUCUGCGUCAGUCGCUUACGGCCCCGGAAGAGGUGCAACCGCCGUUCUCGUAUGCAUAUGUGGCUCAGACUGUUUACGACGAAGAGAGGUGGCGCGGUGACGUGCAACAGCAGGAGGCAUCGGCGUGGCAGCACGUGAUGCAGGUCUGGCAGCUCUCUCAAGUGGAAGCGGCGAAGAUGGCCGCCGUGGAGCAGCAGCACGCUGCACAGCUCGCAGCGUUGUCGGAGGCUCACAGGACGAGCGAAAGCAUCGUCAGCACCAUACGUCAGGAGCUGGAGGAGAUGCGCGCCGUGCAGGAGAAGGCUAACGCGCUGCGCGAACGCAUCUCCGAGCUUGAGGAUGCAGCGACGCAGCAGAGGGAGAGGGAGAAGCACCUACGAGAGCAGGUUUCCGAUCUAGAAGGACAGCUAUGCCAAGAGCAGGAGCGCGGCAAGACUGCCUUGCAGCGCCUGGAAGCGGAGCUGAAGGAUCAGAGGCGCGCUGUAGCCACUGCGGAGGAGGCCGCGGCCUCCUUGAAGGCCGCGCACGCUGGAGAAAAGCAGCAGGCGGAAUCUGCGAUGAGAGCGGAACAGGAGCAACAUGCCACAGCUGUGGCAUCACUGCAGGCACAGAUCCGACAGGCAGAGGAUAAAUUGCACAACUCCGAAGAAGCGCAUAGAGCGCAGGUGCGGCGGGGGCUUGAGCAGGCAAGCGAGCAUGAGGCCGCUCUCGCGAUGCUGCGGUCGCAGCUCGAGUCGAGCAAAAAGGCUGCCGCUACUGCGGAAGAAGUUCAUCGAGGUGAACGGGUGGCGUUGGAGCAGAGGCUCAAGCAGCAAGAGGAAGCGUUCGCCUCUCGUGCUUCUGUCCUUGAGCAGGAGCUGGCGGCGGCUCGCAUGCAACUCGACCGGGAUAGUCGUGCAUCUGCCAAGGCGCUCUCGGAGCUGGAAGAGCAGCUCACAGCGGCGCAGGCGGCGCACAACGCGUCCGCCGAGGCCCUUCGACUCAAGGUUGAGCGCGCCAUGGCACAGGCCGCCGACCACGAGAAGGCGGCGCAGCUGCUUCGCAGAGACCUGGACACGGAGAGAGCGGCGGCGCAGACCGCAGCGCAGGAGCAUGCCGCUCUUGCGGCAAACCUAGCAGAGGAGCUGCAGACGCAGCGGAAGCAACGCGAGGAAAUCAGCGCAUCUCUCACACAGCAACUGGCGGAGCUGCAGUCGAGACUGGCGGUCGCCGAGGAAACGCGCCGCACGGAGCGCAAGCGCGCUGCCGACGCGGCAGCGGCUCAGGAGACCGUUCUGGCCGGCCUCCGCGCUGAGCUCGAGUCGGUGCAGGCAGCCCACACCGCCGCGGCACAGGCACAUGAAGAGCAGCUGCGCGAGGUGCGUGGUACACAGGCGCGCCUUACACAAGAAGCGCAGUCGAAUGCCGAUUCUCUGGCCGCUCAGGUGAUGGAGCUGCAAACUCGCUUGGCUGCCGCGGGGAGGGAUUCCGAGAAUGCACUGAGAAAGCUCACGGAGGAGAUGGAGGCGAUUCGCACCCAGCUCCACAAGUCAGAAGAGGCGCGUCGGCACCAGAUCCAGCGAUCCAUUGAGCGGGCUGCGCAGCAUGACGCCGCGUUGGCGGAGCUGCGGCAACAAGUGGCAGAGGAGCAGGCUGCCAAGGCAGCUGCAGCGAAGAGACACAAAGAGGAGCUGCUCAAGGCCGAGGACAAGUUUUCGGCGCAUCAUCUGGAAACCUCGGAAACCAUCAGCGCUCUCAAGCAGCAGCUCGAGCAGGCCCACCACAGUGCACAGCAACGCGAGGCCGAUGCGGCAGCGCUGCAGCAGAUCCUUCAGCGUGAGUUGGACUGCACGAGAGCCGAACUGGAGGCCUCUGAGAAAGCUCGAGCGGCGCAUAUUCAACGGAGCGUCGAAAAGGCGGCAGCGCACGAGCAGACGGAGGCCAAGCUUCGGGCGGAGAUUUCCUGCUUGGCAGCAAAAGCCGAUGCGACAGACGCGGCGCACUCGACCUGGGUGGCAGAGUUGCAAGAGCGCCUUCACGAGCAGCAGUGCGCAGCCGCAGCGCAGCUGGCCGAUGCGACCGCAGCGCUGGAAAGCGAAAGGGCGAAGGCCCAGCAUGCGUCGGAAGACCACAAAAAGGUUCUCGCCGCUGCCCUCGAUAAGGUUGCCUCGCUGCAGGCGGCGCUCGCCAAGUCUGAAGAAGCCGAAAGGGUGCAGGCUCAGCGCUUAGUCGAGCAGUCCGCGGCGCACGAUAGCGCGAUUCAGGCUGCAAGGCGGGAUUUGCAACGUCAGCAGGCGGAGGCGGCCGACACAGCUGCGGCGCACGCGGAGGAGCUGCGCGUGUGGGAGGCCAGGUGGCAACAACAGGCCGCAUCGAGCAAAGUCGAGAUAGAGUCCAUUCGCCAGGAGGCUGAAGCGCAGCGACGCGCUGAAGUGGACGCCGCGGUGAAGGCGCACACGUCUGCCGUAGACGCCCUGGAAACCACCCUCAACGAGAUGCGCAUUCGGCUCGGCGAGGUGGAGGCGUCACGCACCGCGGAAGCGGUGCGCCGUGAGCAGCAGGCCAGUGAGCACGCCAAAGCUGUGUCUGCACUGCAAGCUGAGCUGCAAGGUGCUCACCAAGCGAGUGCCGCAGCGGCAGCCGCGCACAAGGCUGCCGUUGAACAGCUCAACGACGUCAUUGCAGAGCAGCAACGGGCCAAGAUUGAGGAGGUCGCCGCCAUCAAACAGAAGCUACUGGAGACUCAGAGGAAGCUUACCAGAUCAGAGGAGGCGAGGAGACGAGGGGUUACAGAAAGAGCUGAGGUGGCGACGGCGCACACCCAGUCACUUGACGCGCUCCGUCGCUCCAUGGAAGCUGAGCAUCAACAGAAACUGGAUGCCCUCACGGCGGCCAAGGCAAGAGAACUGGAGGCGGUGCAGAUGCAGCUCGACGAGCAGAGGGUCGUCGCACAACAGCUCCAGGGGGACCUCCGAGACACUCGUCGUCAGGUACAGCAGUUGGUGGAGACCCAGAACUACGUAGGCAAGCAAGUGGAGGCGGAAAAACAGGCGAACGCCGAACUCCGCCGUAACUUGGCAGACACCGCGGCGCAGCAGGCGGCUAGCGCGGCAGCUGCCACGGAGCUGGAGGCGACGUUGGAGCAGGCAAAGGCUUCCCUUACGCAGCUCGUCGCGGAGAAGACGGCGGUGUCGACGGAGCUCACCCGGGCCAUCGAGACGGCGGAGAGCACACGUGCUCACCUUGCAGACGUGGAGAAAAUAUCGCAGCAGCGCCACGAAGAGCUGGAGGCGCAGGGAUCUGCCCUUGCCAACGCCGUCGCGACAGUGGAGCAGCUGCGGGCAGAGGUAUCUGCGUUGCACUCGAAGUGCGCAGACAUGGAGAAGGCGCGGGCUGCUCUCAUCGAGCAGCAUGAGGAGGCGCUAGUGGCGCAGCAGGUAGACACCGUCACGGAAAUGGAGACGCAGUUCCGGGCGAUGGAACGUGAACGCGAGGCGCUGGUGAGCAAGGCACGGCAGACAGAGGAGGCGCUGCGCAGCGUCGUCGAGAAGCAGGGGAAGCAACUUCAGCAGCUGCGCGAAGACCUGGAGUUUCGCGCCAGUCUGGAUCUGUGUGAGGCUGAAGUUGUGGAACGCGACAGCGCCGCCGGUGCCGUCGGCAGCUCAGCCAGGCUCGCUCUCGCCGGCAGUGGGACAGGCGUCGCUACUUCGACCAAUACCUCCUUUUCGGGCGCCAGCGGCUCCGCUGCCGUGGUCGGCGGCGGUGGCUUCAGCACCAUUUUGAGCUCGCUCUUCUUGCGCCGCAACAGCACUGCGGCGCCGUCCAGCUCCCCCGCACCCCUUGGCAGUGGCAUCGGGACUGACGGUGCUCACGGCCUUCCACACCCGCUGCCGCGUCCCUUCUCGAACGAUCGUGGCACCGCUACGACGCCGCUUCGGCGCAACGCUAGCGGCAACCUAUAUAGCAUGAGCGCAUACCGCCCUUCCUCCAUGAUGCCGUCGUCGCUCCUCUUCGGAAAGAGCAACCCCGCUGGGACGGUGGCGAUGGGUACUAGUGCUGGGGUAUCACCUGCGUCGCGCACCCCCGUGCAAGAUGCGGUCAUUCCGCCUCAUACAAGUGAACAAGAGUCGGCACUGCCCACGCGGCUGGGCAGCCGCGCUCCGAACAUCGCGCUGGGCCGGAAGUAAGCGGGAGCGAGCCAGCCCUCUGUCCAGCUUCUUUUUGUGUCCUCCGCGCCCCACCCACUCGAGCAGUUUGGCGUGUGUCGCGCAACAGUGAAGGAAGGAUGUGCCUCGUUCUUGCCCGCAUUUGGCCGUCCGCCCCGCUACUUUCCUUUUGCGUUCUUGUCUGCCUUCUGUCCUACGGCUUGGACGAGAUUGGGGAGGCUGGCCCGCCGUACCCUCUUCGAAGGAGAGCUGAAGGGACUUGCCCCAGCUCCACGAUGCUGCAUUCCCGUUCGCAGGGUCUUUCUUCGCUUAUUUAGGCUUUCCUGUUAGUUUUGAGGACACAUCUCAGUGCGUGGGGAGGAGGGGGUAUCCAGGGCCCAGUGCCCACAUACACACACUCACACCUGCUUCCUCCCCAUCCCUGCCGGUGCCAAGGCACUUCUGGUGAUGGUAGCGUCAAGUGCCUACGACGCAGCGGGGUCAGCGCGACUCCUCGCUGCCGACGUCGGCGGCCGUGGUGUGCAUGGGACUGCCUUGGUGCGACCUGCGACAGCGAGCACGUUUGCGCCAUCCACAUGCCCGGCAACGUGCCAGCGCAACUCGAACGUAUCCCACCCGCCCACCCGACUCUCACUGCCCACCGGUGUGCAGCCUGCGAGGCGGGGGCGGGCGGAGUUGGAGACAGAGGCCGCGCUCAGGUCACUGAGUCGGUGCAUUGCCGUGACGCGUGUGUCUAGCGCUGCUUGGCAGCGUGCGAUAGGGCCCGUGACAGGCCUACAGUAGAGCUGGCCUCGUCUUGUGCGGCGGAGAACGGUGAGCCUUGAAAUAAAGCAUCGUUUUAUUGUGGAUUCUUAAUCCACUCGGUCGCGACCCCCUCCCCUGCGUAUGGCCUGCGUGCGACGUUGUCCGGAGACAACCGACUUAUGUACGGCGCUAUCCUACCCCCCCCUCUUCCCUGCCACUCCUGGCCCUGCCUCCCUCACAACUCGAUCCUGUUCCUCUGUGUCAUGUACGCCGCCAGCGGUUAAGCUUGCACACGUUACUGUGUUGGCGUGGGCCGACGCGGCCUCGUUUUCGAAGGUUGUUGUUGUUGUCAGUGUCGUCACGCGUUUGGCGUUUUGUGGCGCUUGG
This 8853-nucleotide unclassified non-coding RNA is filed under the name Leishmania donovani. RNAcentral's name for it is "gene:LdHU3.19.0780(CDS-product:kinesin_putative)". The record is from RNAcentral. Lineage: Eukaryota; Euglenozoa; Kinetoplastea; Trypanosomatida; Trypanosomatidae.